RNAcentral lists this ribosomal RNA (645 nucleotides) under bacterium HN1-1-3. RNAcentral's name for it is "bacterial SSU rRNA". It matches the Rfam family "Bacterial small subunit ribosomal RNA", at positions 338 to 974 of the family's 1533-position model. The record is from RNAcentral.
CCUACGGGAGGCAGCAGUAGGGAAUCUUCCGCAAUGGACGAAAGUCUGACGGAGCAACGCCGCGUGAGUGAUGAAGGUUUUCGGAUCGUAAAACUCUGUUGUUAGGGAAGAACAAGUACGAGAGUAACUGCUCGUACCUUGACGGUACCUAACCAGAAAGCCACGGCUAACUACGUGCCAGCAGCCGCGGUAAUACGUAGGUGGCAAGCGUUGUCCGGAAUUAUUGGGCGUAAAGCGCGCGCAGGCGGUUCCUUAAGUCUGAUGUGAAAGCCCACGGCUCAACCGUGGAGGGUCAUUGGAAACUGGGGAACUUGAGUGCAGAAGAGGAAAGCGGAAUUCCACGUGUAGCGGUGAAAUGCGUAGAGAUGUGGAGGAACACCAGUGGCGAAGGCGGCUUUCUGGUCUGUAACUGACGCUGAGGCGCGAAAGCGUGGGGAGCAACCAGGAUUAGAUACCCUGGUAGUCCACGCCGUAAACGAUGAGUGCUAAGUGUUAGAGGGUUUCCGCCCUUUAGUGCUGCAGCUAACGCAUUAAGCACUCCGCCUGGGGAGUACGGCCGCAAGGCUGAAACUCAAAGGAAUUGACGGGGGCCCGCACAAGCGGUGGAGCAUGUGGUUUAAUUCGAAGCAACGCGAAGAACCUUAC